AUUGAACGCUGGCGGCAUGCCUUACACAUGCAAGUCGAACGGCAGCGCGGGAGCAAUCCUGGUGGCGAGUGGCGAACGGGUGAGUAAAGUAUCGGAACGUGCCCAGUCGUGGGGGAUAACGUAGCGAAAGUUACGCUAAUACCGCAUACGAUCUAUGGAUGAAAGCGGGGGAUCGCAAGACCUCGCGCGAUUGGAGCGGCCGAUAUCAGAUUAGGUAGUUGGUGGGGUAAAGGCUCACCAAGCCGACGAUCUGUAGCUGGUCUGAGAGGACGACCAGCCACACUGGGACUGAGACACGGCCCAGACUCCUACGGGAGGCAGCAGUGGGGAAUUUUGGACAAUGGGCGAAGGCCUGAUCCAGCCAUGCCGCAUGCAGGAUGAAGGCCUUCGGGUUGUAAACUGCUUUUGUACGGAACGAAAAGGUUUGGGCUAAUAAGCUGAGCUCAUGACGGUACCGUAAGAAUAAGCACCGGCUAACUACGUGCCAGCCGCCGCGGUAA
RNAcentral lists this ribosomal RNA (500 nucleotides) under uncultured bacterium. RNAcentral describes it as "partial 16S ribosomal RNA". It matches the Rfam family "Bacterial small subunit ribosomal RNA", at positions 30 to 523 of the family's 1533-position model. The record is from RNAcentral.